AGAGUUUGAUCAUGGCUCAGAACGAACGCUGGCGGCAGGCUUAACACAUGCAAGUCGAGCGCGUGGCAACACGAGCGGCAGACGGGUGAGUAACGCGUGGGAAUCUACCGGGACCCUACGGAAUAACGCAUGGAAACGUGUGCUAAUACCGUAUACGCCCCUACGGGGGAAAGAUUUAUCGGGGUUUGAUGAGCCCGCGUUGGAUUAGCUAGUUGGUGGGGUAAAGGCCUACCAAGGCGACGAUCCAUAGCUGGUCUGAGAGGAUGAUCAGCCACAUUGGGACUGAGACACGGCCCAAACUCCUACGGGAGGCAGCAGUGGGGAAUAUUGGACAAUGGGCGCAAGCCUGAUCCAGCCAUGCCGCGUGAGUGAUGAAGGCCCUAGGGUUGUAAAGCUCUUUCACCGGAGAAGAUAAUGACGGUAUCCGGAGAAGAAGCCCCGGCUAACUUCGUGCCAGCAGCCGCGGUAAUACGAAGGGGGCUAGCGUUGUUCGGAAUUACUGGGCGUAAAGCGCACGUAGGCGGACAUUUAAGUCAGGGGUGAAAUCCCGGAGCUCAACUCCGGAACUGCCUUUGAUACUGGGUGUCUUGAGUGUGGAAGAGGUGAGUGGAAUUCCGAGUGUAGAGGUGAAAUUCGUAGAUAUUCGGAGGAACACCAGUGGCGAAGGCGGCUCACUGGUCCAUUACUGACGCUGAGGUGCGAAAGCGUGGGGAGCAAACAGGAUUAGAUACCCUAGUAGUCC
Molecule: ribosomal RNA, 742 nt
Filed under: uncultured bacterium
Lineage: Bacteria
Description: bacterial SSU rRNA
Rfam family: Bacterial small subunit ribosomal RNA
Source: RNAcentral